GUGUCAAUCAUCGACAGGGGGCGGGGCCAAGGGCGAGGCCAACUCCUGUCAUUGCUAUUGGGGGGAGGGGGGACCCCAAAAAUCGCCCAAAAUCCACCCAAAAAAUCCCCAAAUUCUCACAAAAUCACACCAAAAUCCACGAAAAUCCACCCCAAAUCCUCCCAAACCCCCCAAAUCCACCCCAAAUACCCCAAAUUCUCCCCAAAACCUCCCCAAAUCACACAAAAAUCCACCCAAAUCUCCCCCACAGCCUUCCCAAAAUCCACCCAAAAUUUCCCCCCAAAUCCUCCCCCAAAAUUCCCCCCAAAUCCUCCCAAACCCCCCAAAUCCACCCCAAAUUCCCCAAAUUCUCCGCAAAACCUCCCCAAACCACCCAAAAAUCCACCCAAAUCUCCCCAAAAGCCUCCCCAAAAUCCACCCAAAAUUUCCCCCCAAAUCCUCCCAACAAAUCCCCAAAUCCCCCCAAAUUCCCACCAAAUCCCCGCAAAAUCCUCCCAAAAUCCCCCGAAAUCCACGCCAAAUCCCCAAAUCCUGCCCAAAACCUCCCAAAAUCCCCUCAAAAUAUCCCCCAAAUCCACCCAAAAUCCCCCAAAUUCUCACAAAACCCCCAAAUCCCCUUAGAACUCCCCAAAUUCACCCCAAAUGCACCCCAAAACCCUCAAAUCCCCAAACCUCCCCAAAACCCCCUCAUGAACCCUCCCAUACCCCCAAAAUCUCCCCAAAUUCUGCUUAAAUCCCCCUGGAGACUCCCCAAAACUCCCCAAAUCCCCCCAAACCUCCCCAAAAUCCCCUCCGAGACCACCUGGAGGCCCCAAACACCCCCCCCAAACACCCCCGGAUCUCCCAAAAUCCCCCCAUAAACCCCCAGGGUCCCCCAAAUUUCCCCAAAUUCUCCAAAAUUCCCCCUAACCCUCCUCCAAAAAAACCCAAAUUCCCCCAAAUUCCCUAACAAACCUCCCCAAAAAUCCACAAAUCUCCCCAAAUCCCCCAAAAUCCCCAAAGAAAUUCCUCAAAAUCCC
RNAcentral lists this long non-coding RNA (1019 nucleotides) under Chloebia gouldiae (Gouldian finch). RNAcentral's name for it is "Erythrura gouldiae (Gouldian finch) lncRNA (ENSEGOG00005017879.1)". Lineage: Eukaryota; Metazoa; Chordata; Aves; Passeriformes; Passeridae. The record is from RNAcentral.